UUUCAUCUGUACUGAAUGUGUUUGCAGCAGGUUGAGGCUUCACUCGUAUAUAAAGUCUUUGUUUUAUUAGCAGGAAGCAAUCAAAGUAAUAAAUUAUUUAUCUGCUUCCAUCUGCAGCAGCAGCUUCAGUCUAAACACGACGUUUAAAUUCACACCGCUGUUGUUGUUUUUCUCCACGUUUCUCCUGUUUUAGUGAAGCUCCUGAUGGUGAACCUGCAGUGAGCUCACAUCCUGCGCCACCAGUGUUAUUAUUAUCAUUAUAACAAUAAUCAUUUUUCUUCUUCUCAUUGGGUCCAGGUUAGGGUUGGGUAUCGAAAUUCGGUUCUAAGUAGGAACCGAAUCAAAAACGGCGGGUACCGGGUACCCAUAAAAAAUAUUUACUUUCGGUUCUGCUUUUCGGUUCUUGGACGGACUUAUAACCUUUUUUACAAUGGCUGCGUGUCUGCCAGGAAACCUCAGCGAGAGGGCUCUGGGAGACCUGUCUGUUACGCUGAUAGCGUGAAUGUGCGACGUAGUCACGUAAAGGGGGGAAAAAAAACAACACCGGAGAAACUUUGCUAACUAUGGACCACGGGAAACGCUCUAAAGUGUGGCUUCAUUUUGAAAGGUAAAGAGAUGAAAAAGGAAAGUGCAACAUAUGUCAUAAGCUUACGAGCUGUAAGACAGGCUGCACGUCAAAUUUGACGAAACAUUUACGACUCCAUGGCAUCGAGCUGAAAGACUGUACAGUGUUUGAUCUUCUGCAGACCGACACAGCCAGUGCUAAUGUUGCUACAAGCAGCGUUAGCACCUUGCCAACAGCCCCAAAAGAGACACCGUUCACGUUGGCGAAAAGGAGGCUGACAAAAGAGAAAGCUGAGGAGUGUCACCGUGCAGUAACCAAGUUUGUAGUGAAAGGACUACAUCCUUUCUCGGUCGUCGAGUCUCCGUUAUUCAGGAAUCGUUUGGCACCGGAAUCGAUAAGCAGAACCGGAAUCGGAUUCAUAAAAAUCCUAACGAUACCCAUCCCAAGUCCAGGUCACCUGCUUGACUUCGGCCUGCAGGUGGCGUAGCUGCAGACUCUGCUCCAGCCGGCUGUGGGUGUGCUGGGCGCUCAGCUCCACCUCCUGCUGCUUCUCAUGAAGAAACUCCAGCAGCUCCUGAACCUGAGAGGCCA
This is a long non-coding RNA of Acanthochromis polyacanthus (spiny chromis), 1156 nucleotides long. RefSeq lists it as uncharacterized. The record is from RefSeq and is a predicted model, not a curated record. The transcript is spliced from 2 exons. NCBI's taxonomy places the organism in Eukaryota, Metazoa, Chordata, Actinopteri, Pomacentridae.